AACGAACGCUGGCGGCAUGCCUAACACAUGCAAGUCGAACGAGACCUUCGGGUCUAGUGGCGCACGGCUGCGUAACGCGUGGGAACCUGCCCUUAGGUUCGGAAUAACUCCCCGAAAGGGGUGCUAAUACCGCAUAAUGUCUUCGCACCAAAGAUUUAUCGCCUUUGGAUGGGCCCGCGUUGGAUUAGCUAGUUGGUAGGGUAAAAGCCUACCAAGGCGACGAUCCAUAGCUGGUCUGAGAGGAUGAUCAGCCACACUGGGACUGAGACACGGCCCAGACUCCUACGGGAGGCAGCAGUGGGGAAUAUUGGACAAUGGGCGAAAGCCUGAUCCAGCAAUGCCGCGGGAGUGAUGAAGGCCGUAGGGUUGUAAAGCUCUUUUACCCGGGAUGAUAAUGACAGUACCGGGAGAAUAAGCUCCGGCUAACUCCGUG
This 433-nucleotide ribosomal RNA is filed under the name uncultured bacterium. Its description in RNAcentral is "partial 16S ribosomal RNA". It matches the Rfam family "Bacterial small subunit ribosomal RNA", at positions 29 to 507 of the family's 1533-position model. The record is from RNAcentral.